Molecule: long non-coding RNA, 209 nt
Filed under: Nicotiana benthamiana
Lineage: Eukaryota; Viridiplantae; Streptophyta; Magnoliopsida; Solanales; Solanaceae
Description: long non-coding RNA (NBEN_LNC006437)
Source: RNAcentral
CCAACCAUAACACUGGGCUGUCAGGCGCUUCUUGGUGCCAGGUUUCACAAAUGAUCUGAAGUGACACGGCACAGGAUGAGGGAGGACCCACACUUUUUGCUUUAUUUUUCUGCCUCUCUUUAUGUAUGUAAUGGUGGGAUUCAAACCCAAACCAAAGGUAUCCAUCGGUUUUGGGAGAGACACCGAUUGUACGAUACCUUGAAGUGAUG